GGUUACUGCUAUCGGUGUUCGCCUAAGCCAUGCGAGUCAUAUGUUCUUCGGAACAUGGCGUACUGCUCAGUAACACGUGGAUAACCUGCCCUUGGGUCCGGCAUAACCCCGGGAAACUGGGGAUAAUUCCGGAUAACGCACAUAUGCUGGAAUGCUUUAUGCGUCAAAUGGAUUCGUCCGCCCAAGGAUGGGUCUGCGGCCUAUCAGGUAGUAGUGGGUGUAAUGUACCUACUAGCCUACGACGGGUACGGGUUGUGAGAGCAAGAGCCCGGAGAUGGAUUCUGAGACAUGAAUCCAGGCCCUACGGGGCGCAGCAGGCGCGAAAACUUUACAAUGCGGGAAACCGUGAUAAGGGGACACCGAGUGCCAGCAUCAUAUGCUGGCUGUCCAGGUGUGUAAAAUACACCUGUUAGCAAGGGCCGGGCAAGACCGGUGCCAGCCGCCGCGGUAACACCGGCGGCCCGAGUGGUGAUCGUGAUUAUUGGGUCUAAAGGGUCCGUAGCCGGUUUGGUCAGUCCUCCGGGAAAUCUGACGGCUUAACCGUUAGGCUUUCGGGGGAUACUGCCAGACUUGGAACCGGGAGAGGUAAGAGGUACUACAGGGGUAGGAGUGAAAUCUUGUAAUCCCUGUGGGACCACCUGUGGCGAAGGCGUCUUACCAGAACGGGUUCGACGGUGAGGGACGAAAGCUGGGGGCACGAACCGGAUUAGAUACCCGGGUAGUCCCAGCCGUAAACGAUGCUCGCUAGGUGUCAGGCAUGGCGCUACCGUGUCUGGUGCCGCAGGGAAGCCGUGAAGCGAGCCACCUGGGAAGUACGGCCGCAAGGCUGAAACUUAA
RNAcentral lists this ribosomal RNA (837 nucleotides) under uncultured archaeon. RNAcentral describes it as "bacterial SSU rRNA". It matches the Rfam family "Archaeal small subunit ribosomal RNA", at positions 21 to 859 of the family's 1478-position model. The record is from RNAcentral.